Molecule: ribosomal RNA, 1159 nt
Filed under: Acusilas sp. ARANS0000098
Lineage: Eukaryota; Metazoa; Arthropoda; Arachnida; Araneae; Araneidae
Description: SSU rRNA
Rfam family: Eukaryotic small subunit ribosomal RNA
Source: RNAcentral
AAAAGCUCGUAGUUGGAUCUCAGCUCUGGCCGGACGGUCCACCUACCGGUGGUUACUGUUCGCUGCCGAGCGUUACGCAGGCGCUGUCUGAUGAUCUUUACCGGUUGUCCGGCGGUGCCUACACGUUUACUUUGAAAAAAUUAGAGUGCUCAACGCAGGCGUGACGCCUGAAUAAUUGUGCAUGGAAUAAUGGAAUAGGACCUCGGUUCUAUUUUGUUGGUUUUCGGAACACGAGGUAAUGAUUAAGAGGGACAGACGGGGGCAUUCGUAUUGCGACGCUAGAGGUGAAAUUCUUGGACCGUCGCAAGACGAACUACUGCGAAAGCAUUUGCCAAGAAUGUUUCCAUUAAUCAAGAACGAAAGUUAGAGGUUCGAAGGCGAUCAGAUACCGCCCUAGUUCUAACCAUAAACGAUGCCAGCCAGCGAUCCGGCUGUGUUCCUCAAAUGACACGCCGGGCAGCUUCCGGGAAACCAAAGCUUUUGGGUUCCGGGGGAAGUAUGGUUGCAAAGCUGAAACUUAAAGGAAUUGACGGAAGGGCACCACCAGAAAUGGAGCCUGCGGCUUAAUUUGACUCAACACGGGAAAACUUACCCGGCCCGGACACAGGAAGGAUUGACAGAUUAAGAGCUCUUUCUUGAUUCUGUGGGUGGUGGUGCAUGGCCGUUCUUAGUUGGUGGGGCGACUUGUCUGGUUAAUUCCGAUAACGAACGAGACUCUAGCCUACUAAAUAGACGCUCCGGUCCUCUUUUGCCGGACGUUCUUCUUAGAGGGACAAGCGGCGUUUAGCCGCACGAGACAGAGCAAUAACAGGUCUGGGAUGCCCUUAGAUGUCCGGGGCCGCACGCGCGCUACAUUGAAGGAAUCAGCGUGUGCUUUCCCUGUCCGAAAGGACUGGGUAACCCGUUGAACCUCCUUCGUGCUGGGGAUUGGCGAAUGUAAUUCACGCCAUGAACGAGGAAUUCCCAGUAAGCACGAGUCAUCAGCUCGUGUUGAUUACGUCCCUGCCCUUUGUACACACCGCCCGUCGCUACUACCGAUUGAAUGAUUUAGUGAGGUCUUCGGACUGGCGCUCGGAUUGGCCUUCGCGGUCGAGCCGGUGUGCCGGAAAGAUGACCAAACUUGAUCAUUUAGAGGAAGUAAAAGUCGUAACAAGGUUUU